CAGUUAGCUCCUCCUUCCCUUCUCAUUCCAUUAGCAAUUAGCUUCUUCUUCCCUUCUCAUUCCCACAGCAGUUAGCUCCUCCUUCCCUUCUCAUUCCCAUAGCAGGUAGCGCCUCCUUCCAUUCUCAUUCCCAUAGCAGUUAGCUCCUCCUUCCCUUCUCAUUUCCAUAGCAGUCAGCUCCUCCUUCCCUAUUCAUUACCACAGCAGUGAUGAGAACUGAAAUAGCAGAGGAUGAGAGACCCUGAAACUUCCUCUUUUAAAUUCUGCUCCAACACAAUGAUAAUUUCUCUAUAAUUGGAAAGACUGUGAAUUAUUGUAAAUGACUACUAUUCACGUAUGCUCUUUCUUUGUUUAAGGUGUAGUCAAUGUGUUGAUCUGACUGAAGGAGUGAUGUCUACAAGGGGAUUUACGUGAAGGAGUGAUGUCUAUGAGGGGAUUUCUUUGAAGGGGUGAUGUCUAUGAGGGGAUUUCUGUGAAGGAGUGAUGUCUAUGAGGGUAUUUCUGUGAAGGAGAGAUGUCUUUGGGGGGGUUUAUGUGAAGGAGUGAUGUCUAUGAGGAGGUUUCUGUGAAGAGGUGAUGUCUAUGUGGGGGUUUGUGUGAAGGAGAGAUGUCUUUGGGGGGGUUUCUGUGAAGGAGUGAUGUCCAUGAGGAGGUUCAUGUGAAGGAGUGAUGUCUAUGAGGAGGUUUAUGUGAAGGAGUGACGUCUAUGAGGGGGGGUAUGUGAAGGAGUGAUGUCUAUGAGGGGGUUUAUGUGAAGGAGUGAUGUGUAUGAGGGGGUUUCUGUGAAGGAGUGAUGUGUAUGAGGGGGUUUCUGUGAAGGAGUGAUGUCUGUGGGGGGUUUAUGUGAAGAAGUGAUGUGUAUGGGGAGGUUUAUGGGAAGGAGUGAUGUCUAUGACGAGGUUAUGUGAAGGAGUGAUGUCUAUGGGGAGGUUUACGUGAAUGAAUGAUGUCUAUGAGAAGGCAUAUCAAAUCAAAUGUAUUUAUAUAGCCCUUCUUACAUCAGCUGAUAUCUCAAAGUGCUAUACAGAAACCCAGCCUAAAACCCCAAACAGCAAGCAAUGCAGGUGUAGAAGCACGGUGGCUAGGAAAAACUCCCUAGAAAGGCCAAAACCUAGGAAGAAACCUAGAGAAGAACCAGGCUAUGAGGGGUGGCCAGUCCUCUUCUGGCUGUGCUGGGUGGAGAUUAUAACAGAACAUGGCCAAGAUGUUCAAAUGUUCAUAAAUGACCAGCAUGG
Molecule: long non-coding RNA, 1235 nt
Filed under: Salmo salar (Atlantic salmon)
Lineage: Eukaryota; Metazoa; Chordata; Actinopteri; Salmoniformes; Salmonidae
Description: lncRNA (ENSSSAG00000093790.1)
Source: RNAcentral